UAAAGUGGCCCUAUAUAAGGUUAGGAC
RNAcentral lists this non-coding RNA (27 nucleotides) under Mus musculus (house mouse). The record is from RNAcentral. Lineage: Eukaryota; Metazoa; Chordata; Mammalia; Rodentia; Muridae.